CUUGACUGUAUCCUGGAAUUGGGUUCGGGCUUUUCUUGCGCAGCCUAGGUGGGAGGCUAUGAAGAUUUCCUUCCGGGGAAGUUGGAGCCAUCAGUGAGAGACCACUCUGGAGAGGCUAGAAUCCUAAUGGUGAUCCUUGAAUCAGGACACUUGACAGUUUCAGGUGGGCAGUUUUUCUGGGGCGGAAGCUUCAUAAAGGGUAACUGAGGUGCGCAAAGGUUCCCUCAGUCUGGACGGAAAUCAGACAUUGAGUGUAAAGGCAAAAGGGGGCUUGACUGCAAGACCUACAAGUCGAGCAGGAGCGAAAGCUGGCCUUAGUGAUCCGACGGUGCCGUGUGGAAGGGCCGUCGCUCAACGAAUAAAAGUUA
RNAcentral lists this ribosomal RNA (368 nucleotides) under uncultured organism. RNAcentral describes it as "bacterial LSU rRNA". It matches the Rfam family "Bacterial large subunit ribosomal RNA", at positions 2099 to 2465 of the family's 2925-position model. The record is from RNAcentral.